CGGGCAGGUCGAACGGUCGCCGGCUCAAUCUUUUCGGAUUGGGCGGGAGGAAAGUCCGAACUCCACAGGGUAGUGUGCCCCGUAACGCGGGGGGCUCGCUAGAGCACGGAAAGUGCAACAGAAAAGAUACCGCCGGAGAAGCAGUGGUUAGUGGCUAGUGACAAGUGGCUCGUGGCUAGCUGGAAAUGAAACCUCCGACUAGUCACCAACCACUAGCCACUGAUCACUGCUUUUCAGGUAAGGGUGAAAUGGUGCGGUAAGAGCGCACCGGUUGCCUAGCAAUAGGCAAGCCUGGCAAACCCCACACGGAGCAAAUCCAAAUAGGGAUGGAGGCGUGACCCGCGCCGUUUGACAUCCGGGUAGGACGCCGGACCCGAGAGGUAACUCUUGGGCUAGAGGAAUGACCGUUGCCCGCUGAACAUCCAGCAUGUUUGGGGGGACAGAAUUCGGCUUACAGACCUGCUCCUAUA
This 470-nucleotide RNase P RNA is filed under the name Acidobacteriota bacterium. Its description in RNAcentral is "Acidobacteria bacterium RNase P RNA component class A". It matches the Rfam family "Bacterial RNase P class A". From Rfam's summary of the family: Ribonuclease P (RNase P) is a ubiquitous endoribonuclease, found in archaea, bacteria and eukarya as well as chloroplasts and mitochondria. Its best characterised activity is the generation of mature 5'-ends of tRNAs by cleaving the 5'-leader elements of precursor-tRNAs. The record is from RNAcentral. Lineage: Bacteria; Pseudomonadati; Acidobacteriota.